This 926-nucleotide long non-coding RNA is filed under the name Helianthus annuus (common sunflower). The record is from RNAcentral. Lineage: Eukaryota; Viridiplantae; Streptophyta; Magnoliopsida; Asterales; Asteraceae.
CUUUCUCCCCUGCAUCUCAGCCAUAAAUCGGUUCCCCUGACCCCAAAUCCAACUGCGAUGAACAGAGAGAUUCAGUUGUGGAUGAUUCUUAAAGAUGAUUCGAUCACAGUUGCUCACCGCUACAGCGACGGAUGAUUCUCUCUAUAUCCUUGUUGUCCACUGCACUACCAUCGCACCACCACAUGUAACUUCCAAUUCAGCCUUCCCAUUGCAUUUCAACUCCGUUAAAUCACAUUUGAUUUAAUGUAUUUGACUCUUGAGCUUGAUAAGGGAUUUUAAUUGUUAUUGUUCAUUGUACUCUUAAAUCAAAUUCGUAUUUUUAUUUGGUGCUUUGCAGUUUGCACACAACCUAUUUGAUGAAAUGCCACAUAGAGCUGGAUCAAUUGUUUUGUGGAAGAAUAUUGGGUUUCAAGGCAACAAAACUAAUUAGACUAAAAUAACAUAUGGAGGGCUUUCUCAUUGCUAUGUGCUCUACUGGAAUUCUGGAAAUAUCCUUUUGGCCAUAGUCCUUGCAAUAUGCACCUAGGGUGGUAUCACUUUUGGAGAACAUAUUGUCUAAUUCGGGUGAGGAAAUUGAAUCUAUGGUCGUAGACUUGAUGGAGCGUUGGAUUAAGGAGGUGUUUGGGGUCCGGACAUGAACUCUGUAAAGGUAUCUCAAGGAACUAGUGAGAUUGUUUUUGCACAUGAAAAGCAGAUAACUGUCAAAAGCCAUCAAUGAGUUCGUGCUGCUAUAUAGUUGAAAUUUGAUUUUCAUAGGGCCGUCUACAACCUCAACACUUUUUGGGUUAGUUUAAAGAACUUUACUUCUCUACAAUUCCGGUUGCAAGCAUGGAUUGAAGACAUUGGUUUGGGUUAAAAGUAUGAAGACAUCAGUCGGUCACUUUCAUAUUUAGAGUUAUAUGUAUUGUUGUGUUACUGGAAGACUU